This 119-nucleotide ribosomal RNA is filed under the name Citrobacter koseri. RNAcentral describes it as "partial 23S ribosomal RNA". It matches the Rfam family "Bacterial large subunit ribosomal RNA", at positions 2812 to 2925 of the family's 2925-position model. RNAcentral also lists the same sequence under 3 other names. Lineage: Bacteria; Pseudomonadati; Pseudomonadota; Gammaproteobacteria; Enterobacterales; Enterobacteriaceae. The record is from RNAcentral.
UCCCUGACUCCUUGAGAGUCCUGAAGGAACGUUGAAGACGACGACGUUGAUAGGCCGGGUGUGUAAGCGCAGCGAUGCGUUGAGCUAACCGGUACUAAUGAACCGUGAGGCUUAACCUU